Molecule: ribosomal RNA, 109 nt
Filed under: uncultured bacterium
Lineage: Bacteria
Description: partial 16S ribosomal RNA
Rfam family: Bacterial small subunit ribosomal RNA
Source: RNAcentral
AAUACGUUCCCGGACCUUGUACACACCGCCCGUCAAGCCAUGGAAGCUGGGGGGACCUGAAGACAGUUGCCGCAAGGCGCUGUUUAGGGUUAAACUGGUAACUAGGGCU